GGUUUUGAAGGGCUUCAUUUGUCCAAUUUUAAAGUUCCCCCAAAUUGGGGGGUUUUGAAGGUUAAACAUAUAAAUUGACAAUUUUGCCCUCUUAAUAAUUCAAAAUUCCAAUUUUAGACAUUACUAAAAUUAUUACAAUCUUUUUUAAAAACAACUUAUUCAAAACAACUUAUUUAUACAAAACAGCUUAUUACGACCUCAUUUUCAAUUAUUACGACCUCAUUUUUAAAAACGGCUUAUUCAAAACAACCUAUUUAUACAAAACAGCUUAUUACGACCUCAUUUUCAAAAACGGCUUAUUCAAAACAGCUUAUUUAUGCAAAACAAUUUAUUACGACCUCAUUUUCAAAAACAGCUUAAUACGAUCUCUUUUCCAAAAACAACUUAUUUAAAACAGCUUAUUUAUGCAAAACAGCUUAAUACGAUCUCUUUUUCAAAAACAGCUUAUUCAAAGCAGCUUAUUUAUACAAAACAGUUUAUUACGACCUCAUUUUCAAAAAUCGCUUAUUCAAAACAACUUAUUUAUACAAAACAGCUUAUUCAAAACAACUUAUUUAUGCAAAACAGCUUAAUAUGACUUCAUUUUCAAAAAUCGCUUAUUCAAAACAACUUAUUUAUGCAAAACAGCUUAAUAGGACUUCAUUUUCAAAAACCGCUUAUUCAAAACAAUUUAUUUAUACAAAACAGCUUAUUGCGACCUCAUUUUCAAAAACAGCUUAUUCAAAACAGCUUAUUUAUGUAAAACAGCUUAAUAUGACUUCAUUUUCAAAAACCGCUUAUUCAGAACAACUUAUUUAUGCAAAACAGUUUAUUACGAC
RNAcentral lists this long non-coding RNA (818 nucleotides) under Medicago truncatula (barrel medic). RNAcentral's name for it is "long non-coding RNA (MTRU_LNC002029)". Lineage: Eukaryota; Viridiplantae; Streptophyta; Magnoliopsida; Fabales; Fabaceae. The record is from RNAcentral.